RNAcentral lists this long non-coding RNA (979 nucleotides) under Pan troglodytes (chimpanzee). Its description in RNAcentral is "long non-coding RNA NONPTRT014134". Lineage: Eukaryota; Metazoa; Chordata; Mammalia; Primates; Hominidae. The record is from RNAcentral.
AUCCUCAGUUUAAGUUUAAGGUUAGAUUCCACCUUUAUGUUGUAUCUUAAAGCAACAUUUUAGGUACCCUUGGAGAGUAGCCAGAAACUACUUUUAAGAAGAGGUAUGACUGAGAAGAAGGGAAAUAAAACUUUUUUUAUUCUAAAACAAAACCUAAACAUAUCAAUAGUAUUGCCCUUCAAAAUAGCACCCUCAUUCCAGCAACCCGUAUUCCAGCAGAAGAGCAGCCAUCACUCAACUGCCCCCCAGGGACUGCUAUGAGCCAGCUAAGACAAUCAACAUUUUUACUUUAAAGUUACACCUUGAUUCAGUCUCAGAAACGUGAAAUAAAAUGUGGUAAGCUGUUUUACUUAUUAGAUAUCACUCCAAAUGAUUUCAGUUAUUUACAAUUUUUUAAAAAUCACCUUCAUGAUUGAAAAAUUUGGUGAAAAAUGUCCUCCACUGAAGACAUCAUUCAGAUCCAGAAGGCAUUAAGCAGAAGUACCAUCAUCUAGAUAUUAAAGGCCCCAAAGUACUAAGUUAGAAUUACUAAGCUAUUUCAUGUAAAUAUGGAUUUUUUUUCUUUUUUUGCCCAAAUUAUCCAGGCAAUUUACUUGUUUUCUUCUGUAGCACAUAGUGUGUUAUGGCUUUGUCAUGGUUAGUGCAUCUUACCAGGUAUGCAGUUUUUUCUGCAUUGUAGUUUAAAAAGUAACCACAUAAAUUAUAUAGCAAAAAGGCUCACAUCUGCUAGGAGCAUGACAGAAGCACAAACUUAAAUUGGAGUUCCUGUCAAAGUCUAUGCUGUCAUGUUCAUGGACAUAACAUUGAUCCUGGAUUCCUGUGGCCACUAACUAAGGCUGGGAGCAGAAGAAUUAAAGGUCAAAUGCACUCUUUGCAUUCAUGACCAUUGAACAGUAAAAUCCACUGUGAGUUGAAGGUUUCCUCUGUGUGGUAAUUAAUACCAUUUCAUGGUAUUUGCCAGUUACACAAGAAUGCACAA